AGGUUUGGGUUAGGAAAGGUUCAAGGAGCUUCUGAUACUGGUGGACACUUGCCAAGCCUCUACUCUGUUCUUCCAGAUGAACAUAUCGAUAAUGGAGAACUUGGGCAAAAUGAACAGGUGCGUGAACAUGAUAGCACAUUUGUUCCAUGCUGAAAUUGGAGAAGAUGGAAAUGUUGUUGGAGCAAGAACUGUUGGCUCAUCAAAAGCUAUGAUGCUGGCAGGACUUGCAUUCAAGAAGUGGCAGAACAAGCAUAAGGCAAAGAGACUUGAGGCAUCAAACCUAUCUUUGGUGCUACAUCUUGGAUUGAGGAAUCCAUGGCCUUGAUUGUCCUUUAUCUUGGAGCUACAAGAGCAAGUGUGAAGCUACAAGAGCAAGUGUGAAAUUUCAAUUAGCUAUCAAACGUUCCCUUGUAAACCCUCUGUUACACUCUGGCAAAGUGCAAAAAUUUGCCACAAGCUAAACCUCUAGUUUUUUAGUGAUUUUGUUUAGGUCAUCAUUAGCCUAUGUAUUUUAUUUUAUAUAUUUACAUCAUAAUUGUCAAUAA
This is a long non-coding RNA of Vigna umbellata (rice bean), 545 nucleotides long. RefSeq lists it as uncharacterized. NCBI's taxonomy places the organism in Eukaryota, Viridiplantae, Streptophyta, Magnoliopsida, Fabales, Fabaceae. The record is from RefSeq and is a predicted model, not a curated record.